UACUAGUAAACCCUACUUUCUCUUCCCGGUCCCACCCGCCAGCCGCACUACGGCACAAGCUUCGUCUUCUUCAUUUCCGUCCCCUGCGCUCGUGGGAUCUGCGGCGGCGGCGGCGUUCCACGUUUCCUCUGCUGUGCAAGUUCAUACCCACUAGAUGGGGAAGGCAAAGCGUGCAUCUAUAUUUAUCAGGCUCGUCUCAGCAGCCGGAACUGGAUUUUUCUACGUGAAGCGCAAGAAUCCUCGGCGGAUCACAGAGAAGCUUGAGUUCAGGAAGUAUGAUCCGCGUGUAAACAAGCAUGUUCUAUUUACGGAAGCCAAGAUGAAGUGAGACGCUGCAACCUUUCUUUCUUACCAUAAGACCUCUACCGUUCAUUUUGGUCGAAGACGAUGAUGCUACCUUUAUUUUAGCGGGCUCUAGAUAAUUUAGUUUCAUGUAAACAACUCUAAUGAGCACGUUUUGAUCUCGUCAGCACCGAAUCAGCAUGGAUUUUCACUUGCUCUGCCUUGCCUGCUUAUUUGUAUUGUAACUGAAAUGAGCUGCAAGCCUGCAAAUGUACUGUCCCAUUUUGGUGUUGUGAUUUUUGUCAGUGAAUGCCUGCUUCUGAAA
RNA transcript from Triticum aestivum (bread wheat), 607 nucleotides. It is a transcript of the gene named 50S ribosomal protein L33, with no coding region annotated. Lineage: Eukaryota; Viridiplantae; Streptophyta; Magnoliopsida; Poales; Poaceae. The transcript has 2 exons. The record is from RefSeq and is a predicted model, not a curated record.